AGUGAACGCUGGCGGUAGGCCUAACACAUGCAAGUCGAACGGCAUCACUGUAAGAGCUUGCUCUUACGGGUGGCGAGUGGCGUACGGGUGAGGAAUACAUCGCCAUCUACUUUUUCGUGGGUUAUAACGUAGGGUAACUUACGCUAAUACCUCAUACGACCUACGGGUUAAAGCAGGGGAUCUUCGGACCUUGCGUGAUCUAAUGAGCCGUUGUCGGAUUAGCUAGUUGGCGGGGUAAAGGCCCACCAAGGCGACGAUCCGUAGCUGGUCUGAGAGGAUGAGCAGACACCCUGGAACUGAGACAAGGUCCAGACUACUACGGGAGGCAGCAGUGGGGAAUAUUGGACAAUGGGAGCAAGCAGGAUCCAGCCAAGCCGCGUGGGUGAAGAAGGGCUGCGGGUAGUAAAGCUAUUUUGUUGGGGAAGAAAAGCAGAAGAUUAAUACCGCAGUGUGCUGAAGGUACCAAAAGAAUAAGCACCGGCUAACUUCGUG
RNAcentral lists this ribosomal RNA (492 nucleotides) under uncultured bacterium. RNAcentral's name for it is "partial 16S ribosomal RNA". It matches the Rfam family "Bacterial small subunit ribosomal RNA", at positions 29 to 507 of the family's 1533-position model. The record is from RNAcentral.